Molecule: ribosomal RNA, 546 nt
Filed under: Niphona picticornis
Lineage: Eukaryota; Metazoa; Arthropoda; Insecta; Coleoptera; Cerambycidae
Description: partial large subunit ribosomal RNA
Rfam family: Bacterial large subunit ribosomal RNA
Source: RNAcentral
UCGCCUGUUUUUACAAAAACAUGGCCUUUUGAUUAUAAUUUAAGGUCUAGUCUGCCCACUGAUUAGUUUUAAAGGGCCGCGGUAUUUUGACCGUGCUAAGGUAGCAUAAUCAUUAGUUUUUUGAUUGAAAGCUGGUAUGAAUGGCUGGAUGAGAAAUAUACUGUCUCUGUUUAAUUUUAAAUUAAUUUUAUUUUUAAGUAAAAAAGCUUAAAUUUAUUUAAAAGACGAGAAGACCCUAUAGAGUUUUAUAAAUGAAAAAUUUUUAAGAUUUAGAAAUAUCAAUUAGAAAUUUUGAAUUUAUUUGAUUGGGGUGAUUGAAAAAUUUAAGAAACUUUUUUUAUAUUUGAACAUUUAUAUAUGAAAAAUUGAUCCAUAAUUAAUGAUUAUAAGAUUAAAUUACCUUAGGGAUAACAGCGUAAUUUCUUUUAAGAGUUCUAAUCGAUAAAGAAGAUUGCGACCUCGAUGUUGGAUUAAAAUAGAAUAUUUGGUGUAGAAGCUAAAUUAUUUGGUCUGUUCGACCAUUAAAAUUUUACAUGAUCUGAUUUC